This 512-nucleotide ribosomal RNA is filed under the name uncultured bacterium. Its description in RNAcentral is "partial 16S ribosomal RNA". It matches the Rfam family "Bacterial small subunit ribosomal RNA", at positions 28 to 523 of the family's 1533-position model. The record is from RNAcentral.
GACGAACGCUGGCGGCGUGCCUAAUACAUGCAAGUUGAGCGCUGAAGGUUGGUACUUGUACCGACUGGAUGAGCAGCGAACGGGUGAGUAACGCGUGGGGAAUCUGCCUUGAGCGGGGGACAACAUUUGGAAACGAAUGCUAAUACCGCAUAAAAACUUUAAACACAAGUUUUAAGUUUGAAAGAUGCAAUUGCAUCACUCAAAGAUGAUCCCGCGUUGUAUUCGCUAGUUGGUGAGGUAAAGGCUCACCAAGGCGAUGAUACAUAGCCGACCUGAGCGGGUGAUAUGCCACAUUGGGACUGAGACACGGCCCAAACGCCUACGGGAGGCAGCAGUAGGGAAUCUUCGGCAAUGGACGAAAGUCUGACCGAGCAACGCCGCGUGAGUGAAGAAGGUUUUCGGAUCGUAAAACUCUGUUGGUAGAGAAGAACGUUGGUGAGAGUGGAAAGCUCAUCAAGUGACGGUAACUACCCAGAAAGGGACGGCUAACUACGUGCCAGCCGCCGCGGUAA